RNAcentral lists this ribosomal RNA (612 nucleotides) under Bacillus thuringiensis serovar finitimus. RNAcentral's name for it is "bacterial LSU rRNA". It matches the Rfam family "Bacterial large subunit ribosomal RNA", at positions 2318 to 2925 of the family's 2925-position model. Lineage: Bacteria; Bacillati; Bacillota; Bacilli; Caryophanales; Bacillaceae. The record is from RNAcentral. RNAcentral also lists the same sequence under 1 other name.
UCCCUCAGAAUGGUUGGAAAUCAUUCGUAGAGUGCAAAGGCAUAAGGGAGCUUGACUGCGAGACCUACAAGUCGAGCAGGGACGAAAGUCGGGCUUAGUGAUCCGGUGGUUCCGCAUGGAAGGGCCAUCGCUCAACGGAUAAAAGCUACCCCGGGGAUAACAGGCUUAUCUCCCCCAAGAGUCCACAUCGACGGGGAGGUUUGGCACCUCGAUGUCGGCUCAUCGCAUCCUGGGGCUGUAGUCGGUCCCAAGGGUUGGGCUGUUCGCCCAUUAAAGCGGUACGCGAGCUGGGUUCAGAACGUCGUGAGACAGUUCGGUCCCUAUCCGUCGUGGGCGUAGGAAAUUUGAGAGGAGCUGUCCUUAGUACGAGAGGACCGGGAUGGACGCACCGCUGGUGUACCAGUUGUUCUGCCAAGGGCAUAGCUGGGUAGCUAUGUGCGGAAGGGAUAAGUGCUGAAAGCAUCUAAGCAUGAAGCCCCCCUCAAGAUGAGAUUUCCCAUAGCGUAAGCUAGUAAGAUCCCUGAAAGAUGAUCAGGUUGAUAGGUUCGAGGUGGAAGCAUGGUGACAUGUGGAGCUGACGAAUACUAAUAGAUCGAGGACUUAACCAUAUAA